CAAAGAAAAAGAUCAAACGUUCCGG
Molecule: non-coding RNA, 25 nt
Filed under: Cricetulus griseus (Chinese hamster)
Lineage: Eukaryota; Metazoa; Chordata; Mammalia; Rodentia; Cricetidae
Source: RNAcentral